This is a long non-coding RNA of Dermacentor albipictus, 2131 nucleotides long. RefSeq lists it as uncharacterized. The record is from RefSeq and is a predicted model, not a curated record. Lineage: Eukaryota; Metazoa; Arthropoda; Arachnida; Ixodida; Ixodidae.
AUACUUGACCAGCGCGCCAACUGUCUCUCAUUGGCACGAGAUAUGUAUGCGAACAGUUGCGGCAAGAAGGCUUUAAACCUCUUUGGGUUGCGACACAAAGCAGCUUCAGACGCUAAGUCGUGCUCCCUCAAGGGUUGGAGAAAAAAGCGCUUCUUCCUUUUCUCAGUCACUCUCUCUCUACCUUCAUUAGCUAUCCCACGCGUCGGUCGCAGGGAUAAAAGGCACCAUGGAAGCGGCGAAGGCGCACCUUUGUUACCACAGUAACAUGAUAGUGGCUUUAACAGUCAACGAUGUUCAAAUUAUCCUGCCAGAUUUGCCAAGCUUUGAAUAGAGUAAUCUUGCACGGAGAUUUUCGAGCGCGAACCCGCAGCGUGGAAAUUCUUCGGAGUGAACGGCUAGUCCCUGCAGUUGUGGCCUCAGACGCCGACCGGAUUAAACACGUGUGUGGACAGUGACCCUAAGCAGCCGAGAUCCCAUGAAGCGGUUAAAUGACUUGAAGACGCUGCCAUGCUUCGAGGCAUGUCCGCUGCGAAUGCAAGGUACCUAAGUGCUCAUGCUACCGGCGUUUCGGAAACGUUGGCUCCAAAGGCGCCCGUUCUUUGCCCGCAGUGAAAAGAUCAGCGGAGAGCGAGGACACAACGACGCGCAUAAUGAACGUGAGCGAGGCGGAGAACCUCGCCAAGGCAGGUAGCCGAGAUGCGGCCACGAGUGGACUGGAAUGCGAGGCCUAAACUUCAGCAAGCUUAGGUAGAGCGCCUGAGGAUAGACCACUGCAACCUUCAUCAUAACUUGCCGAAGUAACAGACGACCCAGCGAAAGGCAGGGCCGUACUGUAUUCGGAACUUCUGCAACGGCAGCGGACGGGGAUCGGGGCGCUGGAAGCGUCCCUUGGAACGCACGUUGCGACUUGGAUGCUGACCGCUUCUCCUGCAAGGAACAGCAUAGUCUUUCGCUGGACUCCUCCGCGGAACGCCAGUGGCGUUUCCUCUAGAAGGAUAGCGACGUCUCAUGCACAGAACGCCACCGCGUCGGUUUAGCCGUUAAAAGACCCCAGCAAGUCAAGGAGGCCAAGGAGACACGGCCGGCGCGUUCAGCAUGGAGGGACCGCCUGCUAAUGCACCACGCACGCGCGUCUGCGUCAGGGCAAUGGCUAAUUGGACCAGGAACACGAGCGCUGUCGUCGAGCCAUUUUUGCAGCGCGGCGAGUACAGCCCGCCGUGUGGGCCAGGAGGCGUCUAUCACUGCACCGUGGAAUCGAAAGGUAAUGGCGCUGCUACAGUUUGGGACAGAAGCCUGUAUCUCUAUGCGUUGUCUGCACCGCCCGAGCAGAGCGGCACCGAGGAUGGCCAACCUGUUGCCAACUUGGGUUUCUACUCGAAGCUUCCAAGGGAAGGAAGAAGCGGCCGCAAUGACCAGAUCCAAGACAGCACGCCAGCUGCUCGCAGUCAAGACAAUGGGUCCCCUGCGGAGGGUGCCCGGUUUUCUGCUUGCCCCGAGAACGAAGACGGUGUCGACUGGGACGGACUAGUCGCUCGCCUCGAUCUCAGUUUCCUUGAUGAAUAGGCAAGAAAACGUGUUUAAAAAAAAAAGCGGCCUCAAUUCGGAACAUGUAAUCCACAAUGGGGUCUGCCACAUUACUCGCAUAUAGUGGUUAUUGCCACUGACGGAGUCGCUCAGCCUUAGCCUCACAUUUACAUAAAUUAUGCGUCUGGAUACCCGUGCUUUUGUUAAAUUUAAAGCGCGCCAUUUAUGUUCGUGUGUCGAGAGUAACAAAUGCCUAUAUGGACAAAAAUAGUUUAUGUGAAACACAAGCAGAGUAUUAGCAUUUCUAUACGGGAAACAAAUUCAUCAGCCUCGUUUAUAUCCGCUACAACAAAACAGAAACUCAAAUAUAGGCUUUCUCAAAUAUUAUCAGAAAUGAGGGUUAAACAAAGGACUUCACGUGAGAUGCUAACUUCUAAAUAUAGAAAGGAAACGAGAGUAACACAGUGCCGAUCAACUUAUGAACUGGGCUCUGUAAAUGUAUUGAACGCUACAAAAAUCGCACACCGCUUGUGUCCAUACCUUGUUGUAUUCUUUCUGUAUCUAAUUUAGCACGUUUACAAAUAAUAAACCCUCCCCUGCUACGAUA